GACGAACGCUGGCGGCGUGCCUAAUACAUGCAAGUAGAACGCUGAAGCGAGGAGCUUGCUCUUCUUGGAUGAGUUGCGAACGGGUGAGUAACGCGUAGGUAACCUGCCUUGUAGCGGGGGAUAACUAUUGGAAACGAUAGCUAAUACCGCAUAACAAUGGAUGACACAUGUCAUUUAUUUGAAAGGGGCAAUUGCUCCACUACAAGAUGGACCUGCGUUGUAUUAGCUAGUAGGUGAGGUAAUGACUCACCUAGGCGACGAUACAUAGCCGACCUGAGAGGGUGAUCGGCCACACUGGGACUGAGACACGGCCCAGACUCCUACGGGAGGCAGCAGUAGGGAAUCUUCGGCAAUGGGGGCAACCCUGACCGAGCAACGCCGCGUGAGUGAAGAAGGUUUUCGGAUCGUAAAGCUCUGUUGUAAGUCAAGAACGGGUGUGAGAGUGGAAAGUUCACACUGUGACGGUAGCUUACCAGAAAGGGACGGCUAACUACGUG
Molecule: ribosomal RNA, 497 nt
Filed under: uncultured bacterium
Lineage: Bacteria
Description: partial 16S ribosomal RNA
Rfam family: Bacterial small subunit ribosomal RNA
Source: RNAcentral